RNAcentral lists this long non-coding RNA (30057 nucleotides) under Eutrema salsugineum. RNAcentral describes it as "long non-coding RNA (ESAL_LNC000561)". The record is from RNAcentral. Lineage: Eukaryota; Viridiplantae; Streptophyta; Magnoliopsida; Brassicales; Brassicaceae.
UCCUUUCUCUUUGCGACCAGUCCUGUCCAAGGAAUGGUAGUCGUCGAGACAGAUCACAGUGGUCGUGUCACUGAUGAGUGUGUUGGAAUCGGGGUUCCCGCCUUUCGGUGGCUCGGCGGCGCCGCCGAAGACGCUUGUGAGCCUCCGCAUGAAGGUGCUUUUGCCGCAUCCGGAGUCGGCGGCGAGUCCGAUCACGAUGGUUUGUUGUGCGGCGCAAGUGAUGAUUGUGUUGAAUCUACGGUUGGUUUGGGAUUGACGACGGUAGAAGAAGACUUGUUUCGAGGAGGAAGAAGAUGGAGAAGAGGUUAAGAAAUGAGUUGAGUUGAGAGCUUGUGUUGAGUAGAUUGUUGAGACAGCCAUUGUUGUUGUUUGGUUCCUGCUUCCUCUUCUUCUCCGCCUAAGCUCUCUGUUUUUUUCUUUUUUGGUUUUGUGAGCUAAGGUUGAGUGAUGAAUAUUAGGAUAGAAUGAAAGAAAUGUGGGUAACGAUUUUUGAUUUAUGGGUUUUUGUGUGGUGAUGUAAAGAUGUGGUUUUUCUUCAAAUAAAAAAAUAAAUGGGGUUUUUUUUUUAUGGGGGAAAGAGAGAAAUGAGAGGAUGAAAAUGGGUUUGUAGGAAAACAAAUGGCAAUUUGCAAAGAAGAAAAAAAGAGUUUUGUUUUGUUUUGAUUUUGAUAUGAUUUAGUGUGGUUUUUUAAUGAGUGGUUCAUGUUUUGGUUUCUUGAAGUAAAUUCAUCUGGUAAUGUUGUUAAAGAUAAGUUUUAGUCUCUUUGUUAAAGAUAAUUGUUGAUAAGUAAAAGAUUUCUAGCCCCAAAAAACCCAAGAAACAUGUAGAUUUACUUCCUUUUAGAUUUGCGUAAUCCCUAUUGUUUAAUAAUGAUUGGAUAUUGAAGUUUCGGAGAGAGUGAAGUUGCCGAUGAUGAAGUGAUAAAACUAAAACAGGGCAUGGACAGACACUUGGUGGUUAUUUGCUUAUUUCUUUGGGUUUCGGAUAUUUGAAUUGACACGUGGUAGAGUUUGAUUGGAUACAUGGGGAUUAUGUGCUUAAGGUCGGAAGUUGAAGGAGAGUGUAUUAUAUGGGCCCCAUUGACACGUCUCGUAUAUCCCCUUUAGCUUCGUAUCUUUAUGGUCUUUGAACAACUUACCUUUUCUUCAUUUAUGUCUCUUCCGGGACACAAAAUCAUUAGACUAAAAAAACUUUUUUUUCUGAAUAUUGACCGUGUUGUUUUAACAGAGAACCUCACCAAUUUUGACAACGAGAACACAUCUUAAUACACAUGAGUUUUAGCCAGAUCGAAAUUUUAUGGCUAUGGUUGUCUUAAUAGUCAACUUCGUCGUAAGGAAAAAAAAAACCCAGAUUUUAAGAGACGAUAUUGGGUACUAAGUGUUAUUACAAACGGAAGAAGAGCAGAAGAGAAAAAACCUACAGAAAUGGCCGAACAACCACUGUAUCUCUCUCUUGCAACUAUAGUAACUAAAAGAAAUUUACCUCGACACAACACAUUUAAUGGUAAAAUGGUAAUUACAUUCUGACGAGAUACACAUAUUUCAAACCUUUUUAUCAAAGGGAAAAUUACCAUCAUCCUCUCUCCCUUCUUUUUUUACUUGUUCCCCCUAAAGUAGAGGUAGAUUUUCUGCAAACACCACAACAAGAAACACGAUCAAUUCAUCUGUUCAUUUUACCAAAUCCCCUUUGCGGUUAACAUUUUUUUUGCAGAUGCUUACCUGAAGAACCCAUAGACUCAAAAGUGACUCCAAGCAGAAGAGACCAAAGCCGAUAAAGUAAAAGAUCUGCAUUCAUUCAUUAGUAUCAUAUUUAGCUUUAGCUAUCCCAAGAUUUUAAAAUUUUAUGAGUGUGACGAAUAUAAAAUGGAUGUAUGGCUCGUACCCCGGCUAAUACACUGUCUGAGAUGACAUCAAUUGCUGCAAGCACACCCCUGUUGAUUACAAAGAGAACGGGAACAAAGUUAAUCUCAAGGUAACAGAACACAUAGAAACACAAACUUCUAAAGCAUUACAAAAUAAGGCAUUAAUUUGACAGUUUCUAGUUUCCUAUGUCAGCAAAAGUUUUACAAAGUUGAAACUCAGCUAGAGCAACCAAGGGUCGAAAUGAAAAUUAUAAUUCUCAUUCUUAAGUUACAACUCAAUAUUUUUAAGCCUACCAGAAAAAUUUAGAACUCUCCAAAUGAAACCCUCACCAGACUAACCAACUACACGUGAAGAAACAGAGAGCUCGAGCGCAAGAAGAAUAGUAGGCUAUGACUGGAAAACUUACGUCAAUGAUUUUCCAUGGAAGAAAAUCGGAGGGGCAAUGGCGGCAACAAUGCAGAAGCCAAUGUGAAUCUGUGGAGAGCUCAGGUCAAUCAUAUAGAAAAUGGAAAAGUAUACCUACGUAUAGGUAACAUAUAAACAAUACGAAAAGUCUUUAUGAACUCACCAAGUAGGAGAAGAAAAACCAACCAAACUUCAAAGCGCUGUCAGUCCUACAAGGUGGUACAAUGUAUUUCAAUUAUUUGACCUGUCUUAUUAAACAAGUAUUAAAAACAUUGGAAGAGAGCUAAUUAAAACGAGUAUUACCUCAUUGCUCGGUAGAGAGGCCUGUACCACAGUACAUACGAAAGUGGACAUCCGAUCAACGCAUAUAUUGUGGCAAGGAAAAAGAUUUUAACACCUAUCAUUAACAUUUUGAAAAACAACUUUAGUUCAACCAAAUCCAAUCAGAACUUCAUAAAAAUAGUUACCCACAUAAGAUCAUUAUAGAAUAGAGCUCACCUCCGCCUUUAAUCCAGCAGACCAUUGUUGCAAUGACAUUGAACACCAGACACAAAACUAUACCUGAAAUUUAAACACGAACAGUACAAGCCCAUCAGUAGACUGCAUUAGAUACAUUUCAUUGCACAAAGACAAGACAAACUAAAUUGAACUUACCUAACCAACUAGCGAAAGCCAGAUACUGCAGCUUCUGAGCAUGAACUGGUAUCUCAUUAGCAAUGUCAUGGUGUAUGAUUGGGAAAAACGGUGGCCAGUUUUUAUCAUCUAUCUGGACACCAGCUGCAACACAAUUUGAUGAGUAUGGUUAGGAAUCAUCCAUCUCGACAUUCACUGAUAUAUUGUGGUCAGAGCGAGUCAAACUAAUGAACAAAAUGGUCACCAAGUUGUCAUUUGCUUACAUUUAGCAAUAGCAUCCUCUCUUCGCUUAAUAUCCUGAGUGAACAGUAAAUAAAUAGUUAUACAUAUAAGAGAAAACGGCAAUCAGCAAAACUUUAAGAAGCACAGUGAAGAUUUGUUUGAUGAAUUAAUAUCAAUGGAACGAACCAUUUCUUUCUUCCUAAGCUCUGCUUCCCAGUCUGCAAGCUUUCUCUGUUUCUGUGAAGAGUCCUGCACAAAUUAAACAGAUAUGUAAGAUAAGAUUUUAAGAGAGAAAGGUCCAUAAAUUUUAGGGAUACUAAAUGCCAUUACAUUCAUCGUAUCGAGUGGAAUAUCAACAGUAGCAUCGAGGCUCUGGCCAAAUCCAACUGGCCUAGACGCAGCAGGAACCCUACCACCGCCUUUCUGCAGAAUUUAUCAAAUAUUACAACACCAGUAGGCGAAUCGAAAAGUGACAUUGAAUUUGAUACUCCAAACCUAAAAAUGAGUCUCAAAUCAUUUCCAAGUUAUAAAAGACUACUCUCACAUUAAACCAAAUCACUCGCUAACCAUACUAGUUUCUAGAAAACUUCUGAAACCAAUUCCCAGAUCCAGAGAUACAACUCAGUACAAUAAAACCCUAUAUAUCGGUAAAUCCGGAAGAAAAAAUCAGAGAUCUAUAACCUCAACACUGUUAAAACCAUAUCAAACGGAAACGAGCCUCGGAGAUCAAGUCGAAAUCACACAAUCCUCAGUUUCUGCUAUAUUCCAGUAAAUGAAAACUCGUAAUAAGUGAGAGAUCUACAUUACUAAAGCUUAGUAAACGCAAAAAAAAAAACCCGAAUAAUCGUAAAAGAAAAAAGAAAUAAGAGAUAAUGCGUAGAAAUAGAAAGCGGAGAUAAAGCGAGAAAGAAAAGGAGAGAGAUAGAGAGAAAAGCGUUACCGAGAAGGGAUUGACGAUUUCUUCUUCCUCAUCGAAAGGGUUUGGAUCGUGGUGGCGAUUCAUUGCUGGUUUCCGAUCCUAGAUUUACGAAUUCCGAUAAGAUCGCCGAGAUCCGGCGAGUGUAAGGAAAAGAGAGAAAAUUAGAAGAAACAAAAAAAAGAUACCACCGACUGCGUAGCAAACUGAAAUGGGUGGACUCCUUAUUUGUUUUUUCUCUCGCGCUCUCUCCGAGUCUCUCUCGCAUGCGAGAAACCUACGGUAUUUACGAGACUACCCCUAAGAACUAUAUGAGCCGUUAUGGUUAUAUUUGGUCCGGCCUUCAAAGUCUAUUAACCAUAACGUCCCAUAUAAUUCUUAGGAAUCUUUCCACAACAUCAUUUAUUAUUCCUUUGACAUUACAAACACUAAAUUUUUUUCUUUCUUGCCCAUCGGUUCUUUCCACUACACAUCACAAAUAACAAAUAUACAUCGCAUUAUAUGGGAAUCGAUCUAUGGACCUUGUGAUGAAAUAGCAUACCAUAUGACUAAAAUGACUUCCACUAAUUACAAACAAAAAAGUUACAAAAUGAGUGUGUUAAACAAAAAAAUUCAAACUUAAACCGGGGGUAACUGAGGUGAACCGCCGGUCCUAUUAGCCACCCAAUGAUCCAUGAGUUCACUGAAAAUGCCGUAAGCAAUCACUGAGAGCCAUAGGCACCAGAGAACUGUGUGUGUACUGAAAAUGCCAUAAGCAAUCAUUGCUUAUAACGAGGACUGUGUGUACAGCUUGUGAGUAUGUCAUUGAGGCUUCUGUUUCAUUGCUUGUGUUUGGGAUGUUUUGGUUCAUGACGUCCAUUUCCUUUCUUUCUUUUUUUUUUUAAAACGAAGAACUUUUUUAUUGAUGAUAAUCGGUUACUUUCUCCUUUUCUUGUGAUAAUUUUGUUCGGUUCACGAGUUUAUAUAGAAGAGGGGGGGGGGUGCCGUGGUGGAAAUGUCGCCAAUACUUCGUCGUGUGAGUCGCGGGUGCUUAGUGGACCUAAGAAUAUACAUCUCGUUUUUGUUGUCAAUUCUAAUUUCAUUUGGCAAUUGGCAUUUUGAGUCUGAUCGAUGAGAUUAAAAAAAAAUAGCGAUUAAAACCAAAAGAAAUAUGCGUAUCGUAUCAUUUCAACGAACUCUGGCUCUCAAGUCUGAACACAAUGUGGCAUGGCUAAUCUCCUUGGCACAAGUGUUUUCUUUUUGGGAGAAUUGCUAUUGUGACCUUAAAAAUAGCUGUAAUUAGUAGAACAACCUUACAUUCUCGAAAUUAGUAGAAUAACCUUCCAUUUUAAAAAAACCCGAUUUUAUCUUCGAGAAGCUUUGAUGAGAAAAAACGUAUUUACAAAAAUGCCACUAUUAAAUUAUUUCCACGUCAGCUGUUAAAAUCGGGUACCCAGAAAUAAGUCUACCAAGCUUAAUGGUAGAUAUAUAAGUUUUGAUAGAUUUAAAAAUAUAUCGGUAGACAUAAUAAUUUUUGGUAGACUUAAUAUUCAAAAAAUAGAUUUGUUUAGGUGUUGAUAGACUUAUAAUGAUAGAUUUAUUUUCAUCGAAAGGUAGAUUUAAAAUUGUUGAUAGAUAUUUGAAUGUGUUGGUAGACUUGUUGGUUCUUAAAGUAGAUUUAUUUUCAAGAUGGUAGACAUAAUGUUGUUGAGUUGACUUUGUGAGAUGUGGUUGACCAAAAUCGGUAGACUUAUUAUCUUUCACAGUAGAUUUGUUAGACACGAAAAUAGACUUAUUUCUAAUAAAUAUAAAUCGACUACAAUAUAAAAAAUUUAUUCGUGAUAGUUUUGUUGUACGCAUGGUAGAUGUAAAUGUCGAUAAUAGAUUUGUUUUGAAAUAAUAGACUUGUUUUCUGUGUGGUAGACUUAAAAGUUCCGUUAGAGAGUAUAGAUAUGUGAUAGACAUAUGAGAGUAUGUAAUAGAUAUAUUUGGCGGUGGUAGACUUAUUCUUAAAAAAGUAGAUUUAUUUGAUAAUAUAGUAGACAUAUAACUCAUUUGGGAGCUUCGAUGUUGGUAGACUUAUUUGAAAAUUGGUAGACCUAUUUGAAAUUGGUAGACAUAUUGAAAGUUGAUAGACAUAUUUACUUCACUGAACGGUAGACUUAAUGAUAUGAAAUGACGUUUUUAUCAAGUAGUUAUUAUCGAAUUUUUCUGUUCCAACCACUGCAUCUAGUAGCUCUUAUGAUUUCUUCUCUUUACCUCUUUUGGAGUAUUAUUUGUACCUUGGAGGAAAAAGUUUUAGUUAUUGAUUGGGAAAUCGACUAUAGUGAUUUCGUAGGUAUGGUUUAUGAAAAUUUUGACAUGGAUCAAUGCUAUUAUGAGGUUCGAUUGAGUUAUAUGUUGUUGAAGACAUACUUGCAAAAGCUACCGCGAGAUACACUUCUGGGUUUUUAGCAAGUACUCGACAACUUGGUGGUUUUUUGCAAUAAUUUGAAAACAAAAUGGUCCGUCCAUUUAUGCGUCUAGAUUAUAGACAAAGCGGAGUCCAAAGAUAUCGAAAAAUAUGUCAAAACUUCAAUUGUAUAAAGUGAUGAUUAAGCAAGUAAAUCAUACAUGAUUCAAUAACUAUACAAUACCAUAUAUGAUUAAAUAAGUCUAUCAUACAUAAAUCAACUAUAACAUACAAAGAACAAUAACUUUAUCGUAUAUGAUUCAACAACUCUAUCAUACAUAUAGAGAACAAUAACUCUAUCAUACCUGAUUCAACAACUCUAUCAUACAUACACCAAACAAUAACUUUACAAUACACAGUCUAACAAGUCUACUAUACACGGAUGUCUGAUUCCUGCAACACACACAAAUUAGGGUUAGCUUUACUUUCGAAAGCUCACUUUCAGCCGCCGUUGCAACUGUAACUCUAUCUUUCGCACAAUCGACGCCGAAAGUUCCUUUUCAGCCCCUGCCGCCAUAGGUGACUGGUGUCUUUCGCCCAAAAAACACCGGAAGUUCCCUAAUAUGCUCGCCGGGUCCUCACAUUGAUUCUCUGAAGAAGAUGAAACGACUUCAAGGACUCAAACACGAAAUCACCAGAAUCACAGAUUCGCCGGAAACACAAAAAAAAUUCAGUAUAAUAACUCUAUCAUACAUGAUUAAACAAGUCUACCAUACAUGGAACAAUAAAUUAUAUAUGAUGCAUAAAUCUAUCAUACACGGAAAACUAACGUGUUCGUCACCGAGAGAAGACGAGAGGUCUGAAAUCAGCUUUUUUGUCUUUCGUCUUCUCCGGUGCUUGCUGUAGCCGACAAGCUGACAACGGUGAAGAACGCGAAAAUGAAAAAGUGAAUGAAACGAAAUGAUGAAGAAAAAUGAAACGACAAAUGGACAAAAACUUAUCGGAGAUGCAGAACAGGCCGAUAAGAAGCUCAGAAGGUGACCAGAAACGAUGCAGACGCCGGAAACUCGCAAAAUCUGGAAAAUCACCAUCAUCGUCGGUUUCUCCUCCACCUCUAGGUUUUUUUUUCUCGGAAAUGAAAUAGAAAUUAGGUUGAAAACGAAAUCUCAAAGAUAUUUAAAAAAAAUUAUUUUAUUAUUUUUUUAAAAAAUUAAUUAAAUUACGAAAUUAUUAAAAAAAAAAAAAGAUUUUCAUGUGUGAGGGGUUACACCGUCUUUUCCACGCUGGUAAGGUUAAUCUAGCAAAAAUAUAAGGGACCUAGGUUACUUUUGCAAACAGACCUAUUUGUAAGGUCAUUCUAGUAAUUAUUCCUUUCUUUUUAAACUCAUCCAAUACUCACUCACUCCUAAAUCAUUCAAUCUCACUCCAGUUUUCUUCAUUUUUUCAAUUUCGUUUUCAAAUUAUUAUUAAUACAUUUCUCUCUUUCAUAAAACAAAUUUAUCCAUUGGUGUGAUCUAAUCAAUGUGGAUUUAUACAUUUCUAAAUACAAUAGUAUGAGGAUUUGGUUCAUUCACAUUUUUGGUCAAUAUUUUACUCUUUUUUUUUGAGUUUGAAACGCCAAUAGUAGUUAUUAAAAAAAUCUACAAAAAUAAUUUUAGAAAUUUAUGUAGAUAAUAUUUCACAACUUUUAAAUAUUAUUAUUUUUAAAUAUUAACCUUUUUAGUUUUUUAUUAUUUUUAAUUAAUUUUGAUUGUAAACACGUCUUUAAAGUCAUUGAUUCAAUAGAAAGCGUGGAGUUAAAAAUACUGAAAAAGGUUUGAAAAUUAAUUUAAAAGUCGUUUGAAACAUGCAUACAGCUGAAUUAAUUUAAAACGGUGAAAAGGUUUGAAAAUGAAAAUAAAGUUUUAAGACUUUAUAAGAUUUAAAUUUUGGAGAAAUGUAAAAGCUUUAAGAAAUAGCAAAAACACCAACCAAUGUCUAUUCCAAAACAUUUGUUUGAAGUUACACUGUUAAUGAAGUGUAGAGAAAUGGAAAAUUUAGUUUGUUGAGAAAUUGUUCAUUUACAGUGUAUUAACGAAAAUCAAAUACUUAUUAAAAUCAAAUUGUUGGGAAUACUUUCGGGAGUGUUAGCAGGAACUGGUAUUUCUAAUGAUUGUUACAGAGUUUUGAGAUUUUAUUAUCUAUAUACUUAUUUGUGUAGUGAUUUUCUGAUGUGUCACGUUCAUAGAGAUUUUCGCAACCUUCCGCUUACGUGUCAGCUCUAGAAUGAAUUUUGGCUGUAAAUAGAUUGUUUAGCCUUAUUUUAAAAUUAUGUGUCAUUUUUUUAUGGGUUCUUAUCUGAUGAUGUAUAGAAAAAAAAACUUAUAAAAACCAGUCUAAAUUAUUAUAAUUUAAUAUUUAAUUUCAUAGUUAAUCAAACCGAUUUUAAAAUUAUAUAUAACCGAAAUUUUUUUAAAAAAAUUAACAAAAACGUUUUUUUAUUAAAAAAAUUAGAAAAUUUAUAUCUUCUAGUGUUUACCAUUUUUAUGUUUCUGGAAUUUAAAAAAAAUCUAAUAAAAAUGUAAAAAAAUAUAAAAAAUAAAAACUAUUUAAAAAAUAAUGGAUUAUCGUUUCAAAACAAAAAAAAAAUUGAAAUCUAAAAAAAAAUCUAACAAAAAGUAAUAUAUAUAUAUUUAUAUAUAACUAAUAGAAUGACGGUAUUUGUGAUGUUUAAAACACAUAAAACAGUGAUCAAAAUUGAAUAAGUUUAUACAAUACUUCAAAAAAUUACGUCUAAAAUACAUAGAACAAUGAUCAAAAGAUCUCAAAACUAUUUGAUCUAAAUUAUUUAAACUAUAUAACUAAUGAAAUGACGGUAUUUGUGAUGUUUAAAACACAUAAAACAGUUAUCAAAAUCGAAUAAGUUCAUACGGUACUUCAAAAAAUUACGUCUAAAAUACAUAGAACAGUGAUUAAAAGAUUUCAAAACUAUUUAAACUAAAUUAUUUGAAUACUACUAUGUUUUUAUUUAAUCUCUUCUAUUAUAUAUUAUUUUCACGAUCAUGCAUUCCAACAUUAAAAUGUAAAGAAAUCUAACAAACAAAUAUAUUCAAGAAUAAAUAAACAAAUGAAUCCAAACUACUAUUAGAUUUUCAAACAAUCAAAUAUAAAUUAUAUCAGUCCACGCAAAGCGCGGAAAAGUUAACUAGUUAUUGGUUUAUAUUGUUUUAAUGUUUUCAAUAGAUUUUACUCCUAUUUAUUUAUAAAAACUAAUAUUCUUUAUAAAUCCACUUUUAUUGGUUUGAUAACUUCCAAGUGUUAUUCUAAAUCCACCUAACGAUUCUCUUGAAAUUUAGUGUUAUUGGGUUAUAGAGAAUUCUUAACAAUUAAUUAACUCAUAAAACAUAUCUUUCAGAAUAAGGAAUUCUUAAAGUUUGUUAUGAUAUAUUUUCGGCGGAUUUGAUUAUUCAACACACAAAACGCUCGUCAAAUUUGGUUUUUUGUUAAAAAAAAUCAACAAAUCUCUUGUUCUAUGAAUCCACCUGUAUUUAAUAUAAAUUCAACUUCCAAUAAAUACAUAUCGAAAAUACUAAUAAACAAUUUGUGGGUUAGAUACCGUGUAUUCUUUUAAAAGUCAGUUUUAGAAAUUUUUGAAAUUAUUUGCCGAGUGAACGCGUUUAGAUUACGCGUCUUAGUAUUAUAUUUUUUUUAAAGAAAAUCAGUAUUUUGAAAGAAUUAAAACAACUGAAAAAAAACUUAGCGUCAAAUUUUAAAAUUAAAAACAAUUGGAAACAAAUUUUUUGUUUUUUUUUUGGGGGGGGGGGAGAAGCUUCCGAGCCUUUCAUUUUUCAAAACUCUGAAUAGUAAAUUUUCUGUUUGAGAACUUCUUCGGUACAAUGCAUAUCUUUUUCCUUAUCGAUUCAAUACAAAUUAAUAUACGAUCAAGGUUCAAUGUCUGUAAUCAUUCAUUUUUUUUCCAGAAACCUUUAAUUUAUGAGUUUAAGAAUACACAAGUAACAGAGAAAUAUGAUUCAAGGCAGGGAAGAGUGAUUGCAGAUUUCUUGGCUGAUUGCUUUCUCCAACAAAGUUCCCGCAUCUUCCAUCAUCUAAGAGUGUAGCCGAACCAUAAGAACGUAUAAGUAGCCCUGUAACCAAUUCUUCGGUGCACCUUCUUUACUCGCUCAUUCCUUGAAACCCAACAGAAUCUGCAAUUACUCUUCCCUGCUUUGAACAUGAGUUUACAAUGAUAUUCAUAUAUCAUGUAAACCGUUCCCCCGUGUAUCCUUGACUUGGAGCAGAAGUUUCAUAAGAGAAACCUUAAACAACUACAAUGAAAAAAUGGGCGUGCAAAAAAAAAUUAAAAAAGAAAGAAAAAAUGGGCGUGCUGGUGCCACUUUCAAAUUACUCCGAUGGCAAAAUGGGUUUAUAUAGGCUGCACUUUCGUUCACAUUGACACAUUUCAAACCUAAUCGUGUGGUCUAUACUCUCUCCUGAAUUAUGAGAGUUGAGCAAUAAACGGCUGUGAUUCAUUUCGGAAUAUUAGGUAGUUUCAUGGAAAUUUAAUACGCCUACUACUACGACUCCUAUAACUUGUAAUAUUAAUAUUAUUAUUAGAACGGUGAAGUCGAUGAGAAAAAGAGAAAUUAAACUAAGUUAUUUGACCCAAAAAAAAAAAGAGAAACUAAGUUUUUUUUUGGCCAAAAAUCUUGAGGAGUAAUUUACAAAAAGAAACUCAGUUUCGUCGAAAGUUUCGUUUUAUUCCGUCGGUACCUUCGAUUUUCCUCUUGCAAAGCUAUGAAAAAGCAUUUUACAAAAUACAAAAAGCUAUGAAAUACAAACUAUGAAAAUGGCUAUAUGACUGUAUUUUGGCUUAUACGUUUAAUAAGAAAGUAUGCGUUUUUUUUGUUAACUUAUAUUUUCAAAGUAAGACCUGACAAAUUAAUUUAUAACAAGAUCCUCUAUAUCUUUUCACUUCUUUUUAGCCGAAAUUAUAUAUAAAUUUUUGUUGGUUCUAAACACAAAUACUGUAAUUAAUUUUACCUAAAGCAUCUACAAAUUUAACCAAAAAAAUCAGAAACUUGUUUCCAAAAUUCAAAAUAGUUUUAACCACAUAUAGUUUGAUUGGUGACACAAAGCUGUAUAAAAAAUUAGUGCUAACAAAGACUAGUGGUACUAAAAAAACUAUAAAUAUGGCUUUGGAUACUAUUAAUUUUUUAUUCCUGUGAUUUGUAAAAUAUUAUUUCCCAUAAUUUUAAUUUUCCUCUUUAGUUUACAUUUUUUAAUGAAAAAUUAAAAUUGUAUUAUACAGCUUCCAUCGCCAAUUAUAUGCUCAAUUCCCUCACAUGUUCUCGGUAACUUCCCUCGGGCAUUCUAAGAAGUAUAUAUAUGCGUAGUUGCGUGUAUACAUAUAUAAGAAAUCCCUAAGGAAUAUAUAAGUUGGAAAAAGUCAUUAAUGUAAACAUUUGAAUUUGGAUGGGUAACAUGUAGUAUUUGAGAUCAUUCCAGGAAAUUUACGAAAUAAACAAAAUUAAAAUACUCUUAUUAUUAAAAUAUGUCUCUGACGUAAUCAUUUUCUAUAUUUUAUAAUUAUGGUAUGCGUAUAUUUGCAUAUAGAAAAAGCAAUGUAAAACAAUGUAUUAUCAUGCUUACUUUAUGAAAUAUCAUAUAUGAUAUAUGUAUGUAGAUUGAAAAAAAUGUCAAGUUCAAACAAAUAUAGCAUCCAUAAACUUCAAUAUCUCGAUAACAUUUGCAUACGCUAGUGCAACUAGCUGAUGAGCCCGAAGUUCACUUCAUAAUAAGAUAAGUCUUAAUCUAGUUCCUAAACUUUAAGAGAGAGAGAAGGAUAUACCAAUCACUGCAUGUGUCCGAGAUGUUUGAUUUUUUUUUUUUUUGUUGUCGGCCCAGAAUUAUACGUGAAGAUUGGGCUAAAUCAAAUAUUUUACAUUGACCUAGAAAUGGGUUUGUCAUUUUUUUAAUAGAUGCCCAAUAAUGACAAAAAAAUAUAGAUGCCCAAUAAUGGUUAUUUUGUGUAAAUAGAUGCCCAAUAAUGCUAGUCAUUAUGCAAAAAUAAGAAAAAUAGAAGCAAUUUAUGCUUAUAAAAUUAACUUUCGUUCUAUCCAUCCCUUAGCGCGCAAAUAUCUUAGUUUUUACGAAAACUAUCAUAUUUUGAUUUCGUCAUUGGAAUAACACACCACUUUCAAAUAAAAGUUAUCUCAAUUCCAUAUUGUGACCAAAUUUGUGCUCGAUUAAGCAAUAGAAAUUCGUUCAACGCCAGCCAAACUUUAAAACUUCUGAUACGAUCUUUCAUUUCAUAUUCCUUACCCACAAUAACUCAUUUUCUUUCAAAGUGACCUAAUUUUGAAAAAACUCAGUAAAUAAUAAAAAAAACUCCAAAAAAUACUUUGACUCAAUAAAAUAUUAAAUAAAUAAUUAAACCGGUAAAAUAAUAUUUAUCAGUUGUAACUACAAACAUCCUCAUUUCGGUUAACUACAACAAGGAUUCAUGUUUCAGCUCUUAUCAUGAUUCACAUUCAUCAUGGUCAGAUUCAUCAUGGUCAGAUGAUAAGAACAUAGAUCAUAUUUUGGAAAAGACACAUGUCAAACCCAAUAUUGGCUUAAGUAUUGUGCCAUUGCUUCAAAGCUUUUCUAAGACUACUCGUUUAUGAUGAUUAUUUUACUCGGAUGUUUUUGGCAGAAAAAAUUGACAGCCAAACGUUUGUUAGACCGCAAAACUGACAGCCAAAUGUCUGUUAGAGCGCAAAAUCCGAAUUGAAAUCACGAAGUAAAUCAAUGAAAUUAUAAACGAUAUCUUAAGGAAAGUGUAUGAAAACGAGACUUUGAAAGCCGUUUUGAAAAACUGACUAACACAGAGUCGAGAUUUGAUCUCUUUCCUAAACUCAAUUAAUCGCCCGUAAUGUGUGACGGUUUGUUGCGAUUUUUGAAUCCCAUGAUAAACCGUGAUGAGACUAUUAUGCAACACCCAUAAUAGAAUCUGCGAACUGAAAUAACUACGCUAUAAUUCUCGAGACACUUACUAUAUUAAGAUGAGAGAGAUUUGCUAGAAGCUAUUGUUUUCCAGUGUGUUUUUCAUUUAUGUCUGGAUACGACUGGAUGAAUUUAUCUCAAAAGAGGCUAUUGUAUUUAUAGUAGAAGAUCAUAGUGGAAAACUUUUCCAACUACCGAUGUGGAAUGUUUUACAUGUCAUUUUUUUUCCUUUUUACAUUCACAAGGGUUUUCCUUUUUACAAGGGUUUUCCUUUUUACAAGGUUUUUCUUUUUACAAAGUUUUUCUUUUUACAAGGUUUUCCUUUUUUAGAAGGUUAUUUCCUUUAUUACAAAGCUUUUCUACUGGGCCAUAAAAUCUCAUUGCAAUUCACACAUACACAAUUUUAUAAGCCCGCAAGCUUUAUAAAAAAUAGUUCCAACAAUCCCCCACAUGAAUAGAAAUGACUCUAAAGAUAUGCAGACUCAAUAAACUAUGCAGACUAGACUACAAACUAGACUACAAACUCGAUAGACAGAAUUUUCGAGAGUAUAAACGAAAACUAACUGUAUCUGAGGUAGUAACAUAUUUCAGCCUUGAACCACUCAUUGUUACAUCUGUCGGAUUUACUCAGCCAGGAAGUGAACGCGAUGUCUUGAACCACCCGGAUUUUUGUGUAAACCAAGACAACAUAUAUAACCCAGCUUCGUCUUCUCGUAGAUUUCAGUUCUCUAUUGUGUUCAUUUUGGCCUUGAACAUGCCUGGUUUAUCAUGAGUGAACUUAGAGAGUAUAGUCUUGUCCUCAUUCUCCUAGAAACAGCCUCAUUUCACACGCACUAGGUGAUUGCCAUCUAUCUAUCAUAUACACAGAAAGUAUCAUGUUAUACUCUAUAUACAUGUAUAUGAAGGCUAUGGUCUUAUCUCAUUAAAAGCCAUAAUACUUAACCUUACAUAAUUACAGGAAGCACUGUUUAUCAUCAUGGAAAUUGAGCAUUUUUACAGUGCUUUUCUUAGAUUCUGCUUGAUUUAAUUCUCCCUUAGAACCAACCUCUUGGGAUCUCCAAUUUCAUAGGUGGGGUUUCCAUCAAACAACCUCUUUCGUGAUAAGCAAUAAGCCCAUUCUCUUAGAUGAUUUAAUGAUUUGAUCUCGCGGCAAGCUUUUGGUAAACGGAUCCGUUAAAUUAUCCGCUGACUUGAUGUAAUCGACCGUGAGUACACCACUUGAGAUCAGAUGUCUAAUGGUUUUAUAUCGUCUUCGUAUGUGAUGAGACUUGCCAUUAUAUAGACUUCGGAGGUGGCCCUGCGAUUUUUGCUAGGCACCCCCACACUUUGAGGUAUUUGUACGAAGGUACAUUACUUUUCCAAAGCUCAUACGGUGUUUUGCUAGUUACCUUAUGAGGUGUUUUGUUGAGGAUAUUGUUUGUGGUGAGCAACGCUUCCCCCCCACAGAUUCUGGGGUAGCCCAGAUUAUUGGAACAUUGCAUUCAUCAUUUCCUCUAGAGUUUGUUUUUUUUCUUUCCGAAACUCCUUUAGCAAUUAAAAUGUAUAAGUCGCUAUACACAGCGUUUUCCGAAAGUAAUUUGCUUAGAGUUUCCAUGAAUUCACCAACAUGUGUUCUUAAAACUCGACAAACGUUUCUCGGACUUGUCUGAGACUACCACGUAAAUCGUUUCACAGAUUCGUCUAAAUUAAACGUUGAAAACUCGUUUUCAAAAUCGUUUAUAAGUAUUUUUUGCAAUUUCAAUCCGAUUCAAGCGAUAAGCAGGAAGCGGAUUUAUUGAGUUAAGAUUGUUAGACUGCAAAAAUCUGAAUUGAAAUCACAAAGUAAAUCAAUGAAAUUAUAAAUGAUAUCUUAAGGAAAGUGUAUGAAAACGAGACUUUGAAAACUGUUUUGAAAAACUAACUAACACGGAGUCGAGAUUUGAUCUCUUUCUUUAACUCAAUAAAUCGUCCGUAAUGUUUGACGUUUUGUUACGAUUUUUGAAUCCCAGGAUAAAACCAUGAUGAGACUAUUAUGCAAUACCCAUAAUAGAAUCUGCGAACUGAAAUAACUACGAUAUAACUCUCGAGACACUUACUAUAUUAAGACGAGAGGGAUUUGCUAGAAGUUAUUGUUUUUCUGUGUGUUUUUCUUUUGUCUGGAUACGACUGGAUUCAUUUCUUUCAAGAGAGGCUAUUGUAUUUAUAAUAGAAGAUCAUACUAGAAAAUUUUUCCAACUACUGAUGUGUGAUUUUUUACAUGUCCCUUUUUUCCUUUUUACAUUCACAAAGAUUUUCAUUUUUACUAGAGUUUUUCUUUUUAAAAGAGUUUUGUUAUAAACAAAUGGACUUCUAGUAACCGGCCCAUUAACCAUCAGGUUAAUGUCUCAUGGCCCAUUAGGGUUUUUGAUGCAUUAGUUAUGUAAUGUAUAUAUACACUGCUUAUGGAAAUAAUAAGAUCUGAGUUUUUCCCUUAAUACGUUAUCAGCACGAAGCUCAACUUCAAACGAUCAUAUCUCUCAAAAUACAAGGAGUUAGAAGGCGAUCUACAUAUCAUUUUGAAGCCCUGGAAGAGAAGAAUCUAGUGGUAAAAACCGCUCCUCAAUCCGACAACAGACGCGCCCUCAAGACUCAAAACAAUCGGCGCUGUCCCACCUUAGCGGGUGAUUCUUUCCAAGCGGUGGUUCCUCCAUUGUAGCAGCUGUUCGUCCUCCCUUCUGGCCAUCAUUCUCAGGAGUUUCCAGUAGAUAUCUGUGGUCUUUAGUUCCCAGAUCAUAAGCCGGUCAGAAAUCCAUUUGGCGAAAAGGUAUUAUCUAAAACUAUAGAUCCUAAUCAAAGUUUUUUGAAAACCCUAAUAUGGAUCGGUUCUUUUCAUGAUUCUUCAUCGUUUUUUUUCGUUUUUAAAACCAUAACCAAACCGAUCCUCUUUCUUCUUGUCAAAACCCUAAUUGGUUUUAUUUUUCCUAAUCGGCUUUAUCAUAUAAAACCUAAACCCUAAUGCUUUGUUCAAACUCUAUACCGAUCGGUCCUAGCAUCAUCUAAACCAAACACUAAAAUUCCUUGCAAACCGAAACCUAAAUCUUUGCAAAACCCUAGAUCUAAAAUCGUUUUGGUUUGUCUAUCGUUAAACCGAGAUCGAUCGGUUUAUAUCCUAAACCGAUUGGUUAUUUAUCUUAGAUCCGAUCCUUGAAAACCCUAAAACCGGUCCAUGCAAGCUCCUAAAUCCUAAAACCGAUCGACCCCUUAAAGUCUAAACCAAUCGAUCCACCUAAACCGUUUAUAAACCGAUAAAUUCUAAUCCUAAAUCGAUAGGGUUUAAGUUUAAACCGAUCGGUUUUUCCUAAUAAAAAUUAAACCCUAGCAAAUCCGUUUAGUUUAAUCCCUUAACCGAUUAAUAACCUUAAUAACCGGUUUCUAAAAUUAAAUCUAAUUUAACCGGUUUUGUUGUUUAAUCGAUCAAUCCGAUCGGUUUAAGCUUAAUCGGUUAAUUUCAAAUUAGUUUCCAAAAUCAAUCUCUAGAUUGCCUAAACCCUAAACCUUUAAAAAAAAAUAAAAAAAAAAUAAAAAAAAAUAAAAAAAAACCAAUGUUUAUCUAUUAGAGCUAAAUUUGGAAACCCUAGUAAACCGGAUAGGUUAUAAACCCUAAGGUUCGAUUUUAGAGUUCCUUUAUAUAGCAAGUUUCCUAAAAUAGCAAGUUUCCUGAAAUGGAAAGUUUUCCCAAGAAUACCUUAAAUCCCUUAUUCCAAUGAUCAUAGUCUCAUACUAUUGAUUAUUUAACAUAAAUUAUUAUAUGUUUCAGAUGUCAAACAUUCAGAAGGUCGAAUAUGAGGCACUCACUGUCUCCGGAGAUAACUACCUCAAAUGGGCCCUUGACACCAAGAUCUACCUCAACUCAAAAAGUCUGGGUGAAUGCAUCAAAGAUCCCAACACCGCGACUCAAACAGAACGGUACUCGGCGAUAUUUAUUAUCCGCCAUCACCUUGCUGAGUCUCUCAAGCAACAAUACCUCACUCUUGAGGAUCCACUCGAACUUUGGGUGGCACUGAAAAAGCGAUAUGACCAUCAGAAAACGGUCAUACUGCCCCAAGCCAAGUUCGACUGGAAGAACCUACGGUUCGAAGAUUUCAAAUCCGUCGAAGAAUUCAAUUUCGAACUCUUUCGGAUAGUUGCACUCAUAAAACUAUGUGGCGAGGAGGUCACUGAUAAGGAUAUGCUAGAGAAAACAUUCUCUACUUUUGGCACUCCCAAUGUUGUUCUCCAACAACAAUACCGUGCCAUGAAUCAUAGCACCUAUGAGGAUUUGAUAUCUUGCUUACUGCUUGCUGAGAAGAACAAUCAGCUUCUGUUGAGGAACAGUGCCAUGCGGCCUCCAGGAUCAGCCCCAUUGCCAGAAGGAACCAGAAAAGAGUCCAACUUCGUCCAACGUAACAGAUCCUCAGAUCGUGGACGUGGACGUGGAAAUGGACAUGGACUGCGCGGCAGAGGACGCGGUAGACCGAACCAAGUUAACCGACCUAACCUCAGUUUUGGUCGGGGUAAGGGUCGUGGUAUCAACAAACCGACCCAAAGAGGCUGUUCAUCUAGACCAACUCCUUGCUCAAGAUGCGGAAUGACUAAUCAUUGGGUCAAGAACUGCCGUACUCCCAAAUAUCUUGCUGAGCUCUACCAGAAGUAUGGGAAAGAUAAUCAUGAGGCUAACCUGGUUCAUCAAGUCAAUGAAGAUGACUCAAAGGAUGAUAAGAUUGAUGGCAUGGAUUAUGAGCUCUCCGACCUCCUUGAUUGAUCUCAAAAAAUCUGAAUUUGUUUUUCAUUACUCCUUAAACCUUUAUCUUUUGUUUUUGGGAUUUAUUGUCUUUACUUUGGAUUUUUAAGACCUUUUGCUUUUACAUUUUAAUUUAUGGAGUAAUGUUUUAUUUACAUCUCAUUUUUGCAUGUUAUUGAAUUAUAAUUCUUGUUUAAUGAAGAUAUGCAAGACAAUAUGGAUAUCAUUGUGGAUAGUGGAUCGAGCCACACCAUUCUAAAAGACAAGAAUUACUUCAUAAAUUUAGUAAUCAAAACCGCAAACAUUAGCACUAUAGCGGGUAGUUCGAGCCUAAUAGAGGGCCAUGGCCAAGCUAAUGUGUUGUUAUCAAAUGGCACAUAUCUAGACAUCUCUGAUGCCUUAUACUCACCCAGUUUUAAGAGAAACCUAUUGAGUUUCAAAGACAAAAGAUUGAAUGGUUUCCAUAUCGAAACUCAGGAUGAAGGGAACAAAGAGUUUUUAAUUAUCACUAAAAUGAUAAAUGGCCAUAAACAAGUUUUUGAAACUAUACCCGCCGUAUCUACUGGCAUUUACCAUGCUAAAGUCAGUAUGAUUGAGGCUAAUGCUGCUAUCAAAGCACGGUUUUUAGAUUACACUAUUUGGCAUGAUCGCCUGGGUCAUCCCGGUGCGAACAUGAUGCGUAAAUUAGUCCAGAAUUCUAAAGGGCACAGCCUUAAACCAAAUGGUGUUUUCCCUCAGCACCUCAAGUGCACAGCUUGCUCACAAGGGAAACUGAUUACCCGACCUUCACCAGUCAAAGUGUCUAAAGAGACCUUGAACUUUCUGGAAAGAAUCCAAUGAGACAUAUGUGGACCAAUUCACCCACCUUGUGGGACAUUCAGAUAUUUCAUGGUCCUCAUUGACGCAUCGACCCGCUGGUCGCAUGUCUGUCUGCUCUCUUCUAGGAACCAGGCUUUUGCUAGGUUAUUGGCCCAAAUCAUCAGAUUACGAGCCCAUUUUCCAGACUUCCCAUUAAAGACUAUACGUCUUGAUAAUGCUGGUGAAUUCACUUCCCAAGCGUUUAAUGAAUAUUGUAUGUCCAUGGGGGUAAGUGUUGAACAUCCCGUUCCACAUGUCCAUACACAAAAUGGAUUAGCUGAAUCCUUCAUUAAACGAAUUCAAUGGGUUGCUAGACCAUUACUCAUGAGGUCACAACUCCCGGUCUCAGCUUGGGGACACGCAGUCUUACAUGCCGCUGAACUAAUACGCAUACGACCAUCUAGUGAGCACAAAUAUUCACCAUCCCAAUUGCUAAUGGGUCAUGAGCCAGACGUCUCCCAUAUUAAAACAUUUGGGUGUUCAGUCCAUGUACCCAUUGCACCACCACAGAGGACUAAAAUGGGACCUCAAAGGAGGAUGAGAAUAUAUGUUGGUUUUGAUUCUCCCACCAUCAUAAAAUAUCUCGAGCCAACUACAGGAGAUCUGUUUAAAGCCAGAUAUGCAGAUUGCCGAUUUGAUGAAUCGGUAUAUCCUAGAUUAGGUGGUGAGACAGACAAGCUGGUAAAAGAACUUUCAUGGAAUCAAACAUCCACACAAUGGCAAGAUCCUCGGACUCUAGAAUGUGAUUCAGAGGUCCAAAGAAUUAUACAUUUACAAAAGCUAGCUAAUCAAUUGCCAGAUUCCUUUGCUGACCCGAACAAAGUUACCAAAUCGUAUAUACCAGCUUGUAAUGCACCAGUACGAAUAGAUGUCCCCUCAGGGAAAAGUCAAGUUGCUACAGAGUCUGACGCACGUAAGAAACGUGGACCACCAGGUUCCAAAGAUAAGAAUCCCCGAAAAUCAAAGAAAGGUGCAAUGAUUGAAACCGGGAUUCAAGAGAACACGGGUACAGCCUUAGCUGAUACUUACCCUAUCGAACCAUCUCAAGAGGUUUGGGACGCCAAAACUCAAGGUUCUGAAGGGAUUGAUAAUAAUGAGAUCUCAAUCAAUUAUAUCAUAUUCGGUUCUCUAUGGAACAGAAAAGAUGUUGACAUCAAUGAAACUUUUGCAUACAAGGUAGCACUUGAGAUUGCGCACACGCAAGAGGAUCUAGAACCCACGUCUAUAAUUGAGUGCACUCUUAGAUCAGAUUGGCUGAAAUGGAAAGAAGCCAUAAACGUGGAGUUGAAUAGUUUAAAGAAACGGAAUAUGUUUGGUCCGAUCUUAAGGACACCAUUCGAUGUAAAACCAGUGGGAAACAAAUGGGUCUUUGUGCGUAAAAGAAACGAACUCGGCGAAGUCGUUAGAUACAAGGCACACCUUGUAGCACAAGGAUUCUCACAGAGACCCGGAAUCGAUUAUGAGGAGACUUAUUCUCCAGUGGUGGAUGCAACUACAUUUCGAUUCCUCAUAAGUCUGGCCAUAAGAGAAAACUUAGAUUUGCGGUUAAUGGAUGUUGUAACCGCAUAUCUUUAUGGACCACUGGACAGUGAAAUCUAUAUGAGAUUACCAGAUGGUAUUGAGCUCAAAGAUAAGCAUGCAUCUCGUGAUAAACACUGCAUUAGGCUGAACAAAUCCUUAUAUGGACUGAAACAAAGCGGACGUAUGUGGUAUAACCGGUUAAGCGAAUAUCUCAUCAGAGAAGGCUACGAAAACGAUCCGAUCAGUCCAUGCAUCUUCAUCAGAAAAUAUCAAAACAAAGGAUUUGUAAUCAUAGCAGUAUACGUGGAUGACUUGAACAUCCUCGGAAUAUCUGGUGAAAUCGCCCAAACAGUUGAAUGCUUAAAAGCAGAGUUUGAAAUGAAAGACCUAGGCAAAACUAAAUUCUGUUUGGGAUUACAACUUGAGUACGUCAAUGACGGAAUCCUUGUGCAUCAAUUGGCAUACACUGAAAAGGUACUCAAGAGAUUCAAUAUGGACCAGGCCCACCCAUUAACCAGCCCAAUGGUUGUGAGGAGCCUUGGAUUGGAUAGUGAUCCAUUCGGUCCAAAGAAGGACGAUGAAAAAAUCCUCGGUCCUGAAAUGCCAUACCUCAGUGCUAUAGGAGCAUUAAUGUACUUGGCUAGUCACACUAGACCAGACAUCUGCUUUGCCGUGAGCCUCUUAGCUCGCUUUAGUUUGUGUCCAACUCAAAGGCACUGGAACGGUAUUAAGCACAUCCUUAGAUACCUUCAAGGUACUAAGGACUUGGGAUUAUUUUAUUCUAACCAUAACAAGGAUGGUCUAGUUGGUUUUGCUGAUGCAGGAUAUUUGUCAGAUCCGCACUGUGCCCGGUCUCAAACCGGUUAUGUUUUCACGCAUGGAGGAACAGCCAUAUCUUGGAGAUCCAUGAAGCAGACUAUUGCCGCUACCUCAUCCAACCAUGCGGAAAUCUUGGCCAUUCACGAAGCUAGUAGAGAGUGUGUUUGGUUGCAGUCCAUGACUCAGCAUAUCCGAUCAGAUUGUGGUAUGGACGAAGAUAAGGAGCCUACGGUGAUGUAUGAAGACAAUGCAGCUUGUAUCGCUCAACUCAAGGACGGCUACAUCAAAGGUGACCGGACGAAGCAUAUUCUGCCCAAAUUCUUCUUCACUCAUGAGCUACAGAAGGAUGGUCAGGUCAAGGUUCAGCAAGUCCGAUCAAGCGAAAAUUCAGCCGAUCUAUUCACUAAAUCAUUACCGACUUCUACACUCCAGAAGCUCAUUCAUCAGAUAGGAAUGCGUAGACUUAGAGAUCUACAGUGAUGCCUAAACCAGGGGGAGUAAUGCGUGUUGUACUCUUUUUCCUUCACCAUGGUUUUUCCCACUGGGUUUUCCUGGUAAGGUUUUAAUGAGGCAACGUUCCCCAGCGCAUUAUAGAGAUCCCGGUUUUGUGACAGGCACGGUUACCUUGUCCAAGGGGGAGUGUUAUAAAAAAAUGGACUUCUAGUAACCGGCCCAUUAACCAUCAGGUUAAUGUCUCAUGGCCCAUUAGGGUUUUUGAUGCAUUAGUUAUGUAAUGUAUAUAUACACUGCUUAUGGAAAUAAUAAGAUCUGAGUUUUUCCCUUAAUAAGUUUUCCUUUUUACAAAGUUUUUCUUUUUAUUAGAUUUUCCUUUUUUAUAAGAUUAUUUCCUUUAUUACAAAGCUUUUCUAUUGAGCCAUAAGAGCUCAUUUCAAUUUACACAUAAAAUAAUUUUAUAAAUCUGCAAGUUUUAUAAAAAAUAGUUCCGACAAUGUCUUUUUUUGUUAAAGGGCUUACUUGAAUAUAAAGAAUGUUAACAGAUACAAUGAAUCAAACAAGAACCAAAAGGAGCCUAGGAAAAGAUCAAAGCAGGAAACAGAUUACAAGGAUCAUAAAAGGUAGAGCAUGCCUAUCACAACACGCUUUACCACCAACCAACCAAAAGAAGAGAUCAGUCAAUUCGGCGUCCAAAGGGCGACCAGGCCAUCGCCAUAUUUCGAACCAAUUUGAAGAAGAGCCCUGGAUUUGUUCCUAAGAACAGCCAGUAUUUUAAGGAGUACCUGAGAGGGUCUUAGGGAAAACCCAUCAUGAAAACGCCGGUUGCGCUCAGCCCAUAUCUCAAACAUUGAGGCUUGCCAUCCCUGGACCAAAGCUAGAAACUGGACCUUUGUCGUUGUCGCAGUGGGGAGCCAAAGCACGACCUCAUUCCAAGAUCCAGGGAUGAAGGAUAAGUGAAGAUGAGCGAGCACCUCUCGCCAAACCUCAUAGGAGUAGGUGCAUUCAAAAAACAGGUGGUUUCUCGAUUCAGUAGAGGAGCCACAUAGCAGACAAGUGUUUUCGACAUCCAAACCCCAAGCAGAAAGUCUAUCCAAAGUUGGGUUUCUGUUGAGGGUAAAAAGCCAGGCCGAGAAAGCAUGCUUCGGAAUAGCGACCUUAUGCCAGACAAGAGGAAACCAGGCGACUUGAGCUUUGCGAUUCCUAAUCAUAUCCCAAACCUCUUUAGAGGAGAAAGAAUCCUUAACUUUGCCAGCAACAAUCCAAACUGGGUAAUCAGUUCUGCACGAUGGACUGAGCUGAGAGAUGGAAGCAUAAACCAGAACCUGAUCAUCCGAUCUAGCAGGUGGCAACCUCCAACUAUCUUCAACAACGAAGUCCGAUACCAGAGCAUCGAUAGGGAUUCCGAUUCGGGAAGGACCUGUAGCCCCAAGAAAGUUGAUUAAGGGUCCAUGCGAAGUCUACGGAUCCCACCAAAAGAAAGUGUCUUCACCAUUACCAAUCUGAAUGGAUAAGAAUUGUAAAGCCUUCUUUCUUAGAGAUAAAAGUUCCGACAAUGUCGACAGGUCGAAAGUAGUUGCGAAAGAUAUUGAAGCUUACCUGAUUGUAAAUAUUUUAGCUGAAUUGAGUUCAUAAUCGAUAGGACUAUAGGAGCUUAAAAAAAAGAUACGAAUCUACCCUAUGUAACAAGUAGUUUGGGAUAAUAAUUUUUUUUAGCACUAAUAACAAAAACACUGAAAAGAGAAUUUUUUACCGUCGGGAUCCCCAACUAUCACCAUCACAAUUCACGACUUAAGGAAUAAGUUUCUCGUUGUCAAAAGAAAAAGAAUUUCUCUCCGAGAAAAUGAUCUUUCAUGUCGUUGAAAGUGGAGUGGGGUAAGCCACGGCGGAGAGGUAGGAAGAGAAGAAAAGAAUCAGAGACGAAGAAAGGACGAAAGCAAAGGCGGCCAUGCACUUUGCGCAAAUUGCAACCGACCUUUUCAAAAAUUAAGUUUAAAUUCCCGAUAUAUAUUAGCAUUUUGUUAAGAUUUGUUAAUCCUUAAACCUGAUACUCCAGUGUGGGGCAUGCUUGAAAGGUUCCGAAUCGAAGCCUGGUGGGGAAUGGAGAAUCUGGAAUUGGACUCGUGGUCGUGGACUGGUGAAGAUAUCGCUGAUCAUACAUAAUAGGCCUUUCUUAUAUAUUCAUCUUCCUUGUAUAUUUAUAUGCUUUUGUUCUUUCUCCAAAAGAGAAACUAUUUUGAUAAACAUAUAAUAUAACCCAUGAACAGAUCUGUACUCUCGCAUAUUCACAAAGGCAAAAAUCCAAAUGCUUUUCUUUGUAUGACAGAGUCACAGUCUUGCAGACACACUUUGUCGGUAUGGGGUCGUUUGGCAAUAUGAUCCGUACGAACAUUUCGUUUUGUUUUUAUUUUAUUUUUGCUCCAUGCUAAGAUUUUUUGUUCUCUCUUUUUUUUUAUAUACAUAUUAGUCUAAGAUUUGUGUAACAUAUUAAUAUUGCCUUACAUAUUAAUUUCGUUUUUUUUACAUAUUAAUAUUGCCUUAUAUAUUAAUCCGUACGAACAUUUGCCUUAUAUAUUAAUCCGUACGAACAUUUGGCUAAGAUUAAUCUUAUAUAUUAACCCGUAAGGCAAAAAAAAAACAUUGUUAUAUCCUUUGACCAAAAAAAAACAUUGUUUUUAUUUUGCUACGAAUUGUAAAUAUCAUUAAAGGACGAUGAAAUGUUGAGAUUUCAUAAAAAUGUGACCUAUAGUACCUAGGAUAACUAAAAAUCCGCUGACUAGAACUCUGGGUUUAAGAAACUCUUCCCUAUCCAGAAAACUAGGGUUUACGAAACUCUUCCCUAUGCUGUUAUAGAACUCUGUAGGAAUUCUCAUAUUUAUUAAAUCGUCAAAACUGAAUACAUCAUUAAGCCUAAAAAACUAUUUAUAAGAUUAAAAGCUAAUUGUUGCACAAAAAAAAGAAGAUUAAAAGCUAAAACUUUCUAUCUACCCUAAACUUAACUAAAAUAGGAAAACCAUAAAAAUAAUAAAAAUAUAGAAAAUUCGCUUGUUAUAAUUUUUUUGGGUACUACAGGGACGUAGGUCAUAUCAUAACUAUUAGGAUGUUUUCGGCAAGAAUUUUUGAGUUGUACGAUCACAGAAAUUAAUUUGGAUGAGUCAAGCUUAGGGCUUAGUAAUUAUGACCUUAAAUUGUAACAUUUAUAAGACAUAUUAGCAGCAAGAACAAUACUGAUUGGUCCAGAAAACAAAUACUAUUAUACUAUUGAUUGGUAAAUCACUAGAUAGUAAAUAUAUAGUUAAUAUAGAGUUUUGGUUACAAAUUAUUAAUCAUCGAUCGUUUACCACUUUGGUGGUAAUUUUAGAAAGAAAAGAUGGUAGUUUAAAAUUUUUCUCUAAAAUAAUCAUUUCUUCAUUGCAUAUACGUACGGAUAUAGAAUUGGACUCCGUUCCAUACGCGAUCAUUUUAAUUUAUACAUCAUCGCUAGUACUCGAAAUGAGCGUAGCAUUAGUUUAUAUUCUGUUUUGUUACUAAUAAUAGCCAUUAACAGACGUAAAAAAAAGUAGCCAUUAGUAUAGAGUAGUGGAUUUAAAAAAACAAACAAACACGCGUAGAUAAAAAUUCUUGCCUAAUCUUAAAGUUUCGACAUUUGGCUUUUAGUGAAGAAAAAAGAGAUGACUAACGUUUGACUUGUCAAAGAUAUAUAAUAUUCGUAAAAAAAAUCUGAAAUAAAAAAAAAAUCGAGAUUGGCAUAAAAAAACCAACUUGCUUUCUUCGUUUGAAGCUAAACAAGGAAUUAAAAGGUCGAAUCUUUUUGCAACAGAAAAGUCUUUGAAAAAAGAAAAAAAAAAUUGAAUGAAUAGAUUAAAAAGAGAGAGAGGAAAAAAAAACUGAAAAAGGAUUUCACGUGUAAAGGAACUCAAGCGUGCUAGCUAGUGUGAUAGAUUUUGUAGAGCAUUAUUAAUCAAUAAAUCGACUUCCCCUAACAAGAACCUAAUCGACAAAGUACAUAUAUCCAAUACACACCGGUCUCUGAUGUAUUAUACAUAUAUCCAUGCAUGCAUGGGAAAGCACAACAGUAUGAAGUAUGAACUAAGAAAUAAAAACACAUACAAUGAUAAAAGAAAUAUAAACAUAGAAAUUGGAUAUCUCGCUUGAUCAUCUCGAGCCCCGGCGAAUAUAACUCACUUUAAUCCGGUGGAUCUACGGCGUUGUCCUUAGGGAAUACGAGAUCCGAGAAAGAGACAUACAUAACAACGAAGAACCAAACAAGCCAGAGAGCAAUAACGAUGAGAGUGAACCUUGGCGAAAUAAGGGAGAUGAUCAUAAGAGCUGCGAUAGCUCCAAAGAGAUGACUAACGUUUCCAGCGAAGUUACGGAUAUUAGGUUUGUUUCGAAGCUUGACUUCGAAGACUCGGAGGAUGGUGUAGAUAAGAGUGAAGAGCCAGAAACAUAAGAUCUUGGCUCUACGUUCUGCUUCGUUGGUUGAUGAAUUUGUGACCACCUGGAGCAAUCCAAUUGCUCCUCCAUUGAUAAAAAUGAUGAGCCUGUGUACAGUGGAGGAAUACGCAACUCGCUCCUCCUCCGUGUUCUCAUCACCGGAGCUCUGGCGAUUUGCGAUUUGAGCAGAAGAGGACAUGGCUAAUGGUUGUGCUUUUUCUUUGUGGUCUCCUUCGUCUUGUGUAUAUGUAAUAUAGUCUCAACCCGCUUCUUAUAAGGCUACAACUCGACAACUUCGUAUAAGAGUCCAUGUGGAUAUAUAGCAACAUUUAUACUAUACAUUACCUGAAAAAAAAAAAUUUUUGGUAAUAUAAAGUGAAUUAAUAAAUUAUCUUAAGAAGAAAAAAAUAGAAAUAUGGGUCGUUGAUAAUAAAGAAAAACGAAAAAAAUAAAGAAAUUGCAUGCAAAGUACUGGUUAAUUAAAGAUCAAAUAGAAUACAUAUAUGAUAAAUAAAUAAAUAAAUAUAUAUAUAUAUAUAUGUAUAUAUAUAUAUAUAUGACCAUCAGCACAUCUCCAUACAUUUUGAGAUUGAUCAAUAAAAUUUGCUUUUUAUGUAUUUUAGCAUCGAAAAGUUGAUUAUAUAAAAAUGUUAUUAUUUGUAAAUUUUGUGAUGGUAAUCCACUUUUUUUCUUUUCUUACUUAGGUAUAUUUCCUUAUUGCUAUUUUUUUCUGUAAUGUUUAGAUGACAUAUUCCCUAUUUCUUAUUGGUGUAACAGUUCCUUUCAUGAAUUCUUUCUCUUGUGUGGGGCAGGGGCACUCCCAUGUGCUCACAAGAGCUUGUAGUUAUGCUUAAUCAGAUUUGUCACGACUGAUUCUUAUAUGUAUGCGUUCACACAUAUACAAAAUCAUAAAAUUUAACAUAAUGUAUAUAAUUAUUAUGAUUUUACACGAAUUACCUGAUAAAUUAACCACUAUCUAAAUAUAUUUAAGUGAUAAAUUAUUAUUUUCCAAAUCAAAACGGGAUUAGUUUAGGAGCCAGUUAAGAAUAUUAGUCUGUUCAAGACAGCGAGCCAACAGAGGAAGGAAUGCGUCGGGAUGUGUUCGUGAACCAAAUAGUGAUAGAAUUGCAAAGAUCUAAGAAGAAGAAUACACAAAUUUGUUAACAACAUAUACAAACGAUCGUAUCAUGAAUUGCCCUAUAGAAUAUUCACGUUUAAGGAAACUAACUAAACUUUUCACAAAAGAGGAAACUACCUAAACUAAUAUUAUAUACAUAAAAGGAAACUACCUAAACUAAUAUCAUAUACAUUAAGCAUAUACAAUCAUAUUAUAUCUCAUUAAAUCGCUUUAUGCUAUGACACCGAGUUUCCAAAGUUGUUAGUUUCUCAAGUGGCUGAAGUUGAGAAGGACCUGAAGCUCCAUUGACCACUACGCACAUCCUGACUAAUCCGUGAGUCAAUAGGUAGGCUCCAGUAUUCUCGAACUUGAGCUCAAAAUCUAGUAUUAUGAUUGAAAAAGAGACGGUUUAAUAUUUUAUGUUUUCUUUUAAUCUAGUAUAAAUACUAUUGAAUUUUUUUUUUUCAUUUUAAUUUUAAUUAUUCUUUUUGAAUCAGAGGAAACACUAUAUAUAUAUAUAUAUAUGAUUUUCUCUUUAAUUUUCAUAUACUUUUAGUUUUUUUUUGGGUUAUAUAUAAGUAUACUUUUAUAUUCAUUAUGAUAAGCUAUACAUAUAUGACAAAUAUUAUACAGUGUCAAAAUUUAAAAUUAAGUUAACAAACCAUAUAUUUUAGUUUGAUGAAAAUGGAUUGAGUGAUCUAUCCAACUUUUUUCGCAUUCAACCAACCGUGCAUAAGACUUUCACCUCGCAUGAUUCUAAGACUUUCACUUUGCAUAAUUCCUAAGUGAUACUCCAUUUGUUUCAAAGGAAUAGACGUUUCACACAAAAUUUUUAGAAUUAUUCUUUUAAUGUUGUUAUUAAAUAUUACUUAAGUUUUAUCUUUAAAAUAAUAAAGAAAGGUAAUUAAUUAGGUCAAAAAGAGCAAGAACUGCACCUAGCUUUAAUAAUUGUCAUCAGUAAUAAAGAUAAACCGAAUCAAUUGUUUAAAGAAAUCGCCCUAUUAUAUGUUUGUAACGGCUUACAAUGUUUAUAUGAUUCGAGAUUGAAGAAGGAAAUUCGUCUGAAAAACCGUCUAAAAAUGGUAGAUUUUUACAAUUUGAAUGAGAUCAAUUUAAAAAAAUAUUUUGAGAAGAAGAAUUUGCUAAUUACUCCGUAUAAGAACUUAGCGGUAAAGAGGAAUUGGUUGGGAAAGAUAAAUCUCAAAAUUUUGAUUUUAAUAAAUUAUCUUAGUUAUUUUUCUUAUUUUUAAAAAAAUAAUUCUUAAUUUAAAAUAUUUAUGGAUUCAUAUAUUUAUAUAAUGAUUUUUAAAAAAUUAUUAUUUUUAUUAUUUCAUCAUUAUAUACUGACUCAAUUUAAAAUCAAUUUAAUAAAUUUAUCGAAUAUUAAUUUAUAAAAUAUCUACAAGUGGACCAACCAAUGGGUGUGUGACAAGAUUUUGUAGAGAAUUUUAUAAUCAACAAUAAAGAACCGAACAAACAUGUUCCAAAGUGUCAAUUAAACAACAAACGAGACAACGGUCUCAGAUAAUAAAAAUCAUAAAAUUAAUUAAUUAAUUAAUUAAGAGCUCUUAAAUAUGUUCCCCCACAAUGCAUGGGAAACCAUAGCAGUAAGGUAUAAAAAAUAACUUGAUAGAGAUUGAGAUACCAAGUUUCCAACCGAUCGAAAUUGGAUAUCUCGGAGACGUCUUGAUCAUUUUGAGCUCCGUUGCGGCGUUAUCCCCCGGGAAUACGAGCUCUAAGAAAGAGACAUACAUAAUAACAAAGAACCAAACAAGCCAGAGAACUCACUAACAUACGAAUCAAAGAAACUACCAAAAUUUCCUGAUCAAACGGAGAACACGAGAAACAGAGAAUGAAGAAGAAAUAAAAUAUGACACGAGAAGAUUUACGAGUUUAUAAUCAAUCUCUGAACGAGAAUCGCUGUUUGAUUAGGUAAUUCCAAUCGAUGGGUUGGUAAGAAUUAUAGACAGUGAAUAUACACAAAGAUGGGGAGAUUAGCCGUUGGGGAUAAUCAAUAUUUUCCUAAAUUACAUAUAGAAUAUAUGGCUCCUAUUUUAUUUAUCCCUACGUCUCGACCACAGCUACACCAAAAAUUCACUAUAUUAUUCGAAAGAUUACAAACAUUAUAUAAUCGUCAUCUCACAAACCCGAGAGAGAGAGAGAGAGAGAACAAUUCAAACAGAAUUUCAAAGCAUAGUUUUUUACAACGGAAUAACAAAACUCGAUUUACCUAUACCACAUAACUCUCCUAUUCUCAUAAUCCUCUGAUGCAAAAUAAGACUCCUUUUAAACAAGACUGCUAAGAACCAACUGUUAGACCGUAUCUUAAUCAAAAGCUCAAUUCGAUAUCACAUAUUAAGAUAUUAACUUUUAAUUUUUUUGGGUUUGCCUAUAUGGUCCAAAUGAACCAUUAUGCCCUGCUAAAUUUGCUAGCAGUGUUGGUAACCACCUAACCAUAAAGAGCCUCAUUUCGUUUGACUACCUCUCGUUUGAUUGGAGAAUAAGCAAAGUGUGUCCUCCCUGCAAAAUGAAACCAAUCAUAAAAACCACUCUUAAAAGUAAAAUGUAACGUCGAAAGUAUUCAAAAAAAAAAAAAAAACAUUUGAUGCAAAUGUCAUAUUGUUGGCGUAAGUCCUUGUGUAUCCAAUAACUUGAUUGUUAAAAAACCAUGGCCUCCAUUGAUCAAUGAUCGAAUAUUGUAGAGAUCUAAUCCAAGCUUGGGUUCCAAGAAAAGGCACAAA